This 3501-nucleotide unclassified non-coding RNA is filed under the name Cimex lectularius (bed bug). RNAcentral describes it as "uncharacterized protein C05D11.1-like, transcript variant X2". Lineage: Eukaryota; Metazoa; Arthropoda; Insecta; Hemiptera; Cimicidae. The record is from RNAcentral.
AUUUUAGUGAUAAAUAUGUCAGAUUUUAAACAUUUUUAUUUGAAUUUUGUUGCCACAUGUGAACAAUACUUGUUUGAAACACUUUCUUUUGCGUUUUUAAAAAAAUUUGAGUAAAUUUUUGUUGACACACCAGGCGUUUCAGCCAUCUUCUUCCCACUGAAAAGAAACUUUCAAUUCUCUGGAAUCACAAAUGGUGUAAAUGAAAAAAUCAUAUAAGCAUGAUGUUCCAGGAUAAUAGUUCGAUGAGUUACAAGCAACUCAACCAGCAGGAAUGUUCUCAACAGGAGGACUCAGCGGAUGAGUAUGAAUUAACGGAAAAGCUGACCGCUGUUUCCAAGCGGAAGAAAAGCACGUGCAGGAUCAACUAUAAGCCCUUGCCCCCUAAGCAAGUGAAAAAUUUCAAAUUGAUCUUGUCCAAUUAUUUCAACUGCUCUCUUCCUGUCAAUGUCUACCGGUCCACCAAGACUGGCCUGACGGUGGUCGUCAGUGAGAUGGUCGGUCCCAUGGUUUCUGCUUAUGUGUCUUUUGCUACUGAAAGCUUAGGUGAUGACGGCUUACCAGAAAUUGUAAGGAACUUAGUGUUCCUAGGAAGCGAAGAUUAUCCAUAUAGACAUGUCAUUAAUAAUAUUGCCAAAAAUUGUCAUGUUACGGCCUUCAAUUCAUGGACAGCUGUCAACUACACAUGCUACACAUACACAUCAGCAUCAGAAUGUGGUUUCUUUAACAUGCUACCAAUUUUUAUGGACCAUCUGUUAUUUCCAACACUAAAAAAAACUAAUUAUAUCACAGACAUCUAUCACAUUGAUGAAUAUGGGAGGGAUGCGGGACAUGUCGCACAAAGUCUGGAUGCCUUGGAGUCUUCCAAAAAUGAGAUCAUCCUGAGGGAGGUGAUGAAUUUGGUCUAUGCCAACACCGACUACCGUUUUUCUCCUUAUGGCAAAAUGCAGAACAUACGAACAAGCGCAUCCAACGAGAAAGUAAGAAGAUUUCACAGUAAAUCGUACAGGCCGGAAAAUUGUUUUAUUAUUGUUGUUGGUUCUCAAUUGCAAAAAGUGCUAAACUGUUUGGAAUCUGUAGAGAGAAAAAUUAUUAACAAGGGUCACAGAAGUCAUUUUCACAGGCCGUGGCAAUCUGCAAUUCCCCCUUUACCUCUUGAAGACCAUUUUAUGAGUUAUGUUAAAUAUCCUUCAAGUGAAGAUGUUACAGCGACAAUCACCAUGGCAUGGCGGGGGCCUAAUAUUGUCCGUGAUUAUCCAAAGAUUCUUGCUUGUGAUAUGAUGUUUAGGUUCUUGACAGAAUCUAAUGAUAGCCCCCUUGUUCAAGAAUUUUUGAAAAUUUCCAAACCAUGGGCUACUUCAAUUACUUACCGGGUGGAAAUGUAUAUAGACUCUCUUGUCGCCAUCACUUUCAGUGGUGUGCCAAAAUCAUAUAUGAACCGUGUAAAAGAUAAAGUGGUAGAUAUACUAAAAUCAUUAACUAAAACACCAGAAGCUUUUACACCGAUUGGGGCUACUUUAAAGACCAUUAGAAAAGAAACAAUUAUAGCGCUUGAAAAAAAGUCUCUGGAUUUCUUUGUUUCCACUAUGAUCAAUUACCAGAUUUACGGCAAAAAUGAAUAUGAUUUUAAAGUGAGAGUUGAUUUCUUACCCCUCCUGGAACAUAUAAUUAAAUUACCAAUGAAAUUCUGGAUUACUUUGCUAAACAAAUUUUUCGUUCUGAGAAAGUGCGUUUGUAUUGUGGCACAACCAAGUUAUUCCGAGGUGAUAAAACAAACAAACAUAAAAGUUGAUUCAAUAAAAGACAGAGUAAAGAAACAAGGACUAGAUGGACUUGUUAGAUUUAAAAGAUAUUUCAUUGCUGCAGCUGAGGACAACAAUGUAAAAAUACCAAGAGAAAUCUUCAAUAGCCUCAAGACAUGGCAGAAGCCAGAAAAUUAUUAUCCUUUGAACCAUUACGGUUUAGAAGAAAAGACACACCCAAGGUUCAACUUUGAUAAAGUCCCCCUCAACAUGCAAAUCACGGAUAUUUACACACAUUUCAUAACUAUUUAUGCUCUGAUUGACACGAGAAAACUUGAGCUGGGAAUGCGUGCUUAUUUGCCACUUUUGUUGGAAAGUUUGAUCCAGUCCGCAAUAAUGAGAAAUGGAACGGCUAUUCCCCUAGAACAAAUUUUUCAAGAAAGACAGGAAGAUCUUAUCUCGCUAACAUGUUCACUGGGCUGCAAGCCUUCUGGGUUUUUUUCUUGUGGAUAUCCCUCGCAUUUUGCUUGCGUCUCUGUUACGGUAGAUUUUGAAAAAUACUACAAAGGAAUAAUGUGGUUGAAGGACACACUGUUUAACACUUUCUUUACUGCUGACCGCCUCAAAACAGUUGUUAAUUAUCUACUAGAAGAGGCAGUUGCAAAAUUAAACAACAGUAGAGACAUCGUAUUGCAGUUGAUGAAUGGGAUGACGCAUGAAAGAAACAGCAACUACUGGGCCUCAAAUACAAACUUACAAGUUAAGUUUCUAUUCGAGACAUUGUCAUUUUUGGACGAAACCCCUGAAGACAUAAUUACAGAGCUGGAAACCGUAAAACAGGCCUUCCUGGAUGACUCAAUUCGCUUACACAUGGUUGUCAACAUGGAAAUGCUUGCAACAAAUUACCUCGACCCGGCAGGAGUCUGGCAGAACUUCCUUCCAAACAACAUCAACGCAAAUAAAUAUUUGUGUAAAUUGAAUCAUGAAUUGACACUCCUUAAAGAGAAUCUUUAUGAUUCGUGUGUUGUAUUAGAAGGGAAAGGAACAACAUUUGCUUGUCUGUGUUCACCCUGCUUUUCAGAUUUCACAUGCAACGAUUUGCCAGCCUUGAUUGUUUGCCUUGAAUACCUUAUGCAGCCUGAGGGACCGUUUUAUAAUACAAUCUUGGAAUAUGGAGGGACAUUGGAAAUUGAGGCAUGUCCUGAGCAUGGAAAAAUAUAUUUCUUAUUGAACAAUGUCAACAGUAUUGCUGAAGUUCUCAAAUUUUGUAAAAAAACCUGUAGUGUGCAAAACGUGAUUAUCCUUGGUCAGAGGACUUGGUAGUGGAUGCUAUAAACUUUGCCGUCGUACGAAAGAUAAGCCCAGAAAGCGAUAUUAAAGAGGUCAGCUUAGAUUCUAUUGUCAGCUAUUUGACCGGCAGGCCUGUGGAUUACAAAAAGAAGUUGAUCAAUGAUAUAAUGGAUGUGACAAAAAACGAUAUUAUCAUAGUGGCUGAAAAGUAUCUGACCUCUCUAUUUGAUUUUACUAAAUCUCGCAUUGUGAUCCUAAGUGAUGUUAAUGAUUACGAAUCUAUUGCAGCUCAGUUUUAUGAGUGGGGUACCGUGUUAAAGUUGUUCAAUACUGUAGAGGAAUUUCUGAAAAGAGUUUAUUGAAUUGAUUGUUGAAAAAGAAAAAAAGAUUAAAAAAACUGUCUGAAGAAUGGCAUCGCUUGUAUAUACAUUAAUUAUAAAUAUACUACAGAGUACACACAUUAUGUAAACUU